RNAcentral lists this ribosomal RNA (579 nucleotides) under Microbacteriaceae bacterium HRRP111. RNAcentral's name for it is "bacterial SSU rRNA". It matches the Rfam family "Bacterial small subunit ribosomal RNA", at positions 102 to 694 of the family's 1533-position model. The record is from RNAcentral. Lineage: Bacteria; Bacillati; Actinomycetota; Actinomycetes; Micrococcales; Microbacteriaceae.
ACGGGUGAGUAACACGUGAGCAAUCUGCCCUUGACUCUGGGAUAAGCGUUGGAAACGACGUCUAAUACCGGAUACGAACUUCCCCGGCAUCGGGAGGGGUUGGAAAGAAUUUCGGUCAAGGAUGAGCUCGCGGCCUAUCAGCUUGUUGGUGAGGUAAAGGCUCACCAAGGCGACGACGGGUAGCCGGCCUGAGAGGGUGACCGGCCACACUGGGACUGAGACACGGCCCAGACUCCUACGGGAGGCAGCAGUGGGGAAUAUUGCACAAUGGGCGCAAGCCUGAUGCAGCAACGCCGCGUGAGGGACGACGGCCUUCGGGUUGUAAACCUCUUUUAGCAGGGAAGAAGCGAAAGUGACGGUACCUGCAGAAAAAGCACCGGCUAACUACGUGCCAGCAGCCGCGGUAAUACGUAGGGUGCAAGCGUUGUCCGGAAUUAUUGGGCGUAAAGAGCUCGUAGGCGGGUUUGUCGCGUCUGCUGUGAAAUCCCGAGGCUCAACCUCGGGCCUGCAGUGGGUACGGGCAGACUAGAGUGCGGUAGGGGAGAUUGGAAUUCCUGGUGUAGCGGUGGAAUGCGCAGA